GCCAGAGUGGCGAAAUUGGUAGACGCAGGGGAUUCAAAAUCCCCCGCCCUUGCGGGUGUGCCGGUUCGAGUCCGGCCUCUGGUACCA
RNAcentral lists this transfer RNA (87 nucleotides) under Thalassolituus sp. Its description in RNAcentral is "tRNA-Leu". It matches the Rfam family "tRNA". Rfam says of the family: Transfer RNA (tRNA) molecules are approximately 80 nucleotides in length. Their secondary structure includes four short double-helical elements and three loops (D, anti-codon, and T loops). Lineage: Bacteria; Pseudomonadati; Pseudomonadota; Gammaproteobacteria; Oceanospirillales; Oceanospirillaceae. The record is from RNAcentral.